UGUGUGUGUGUGUGUGUGUUUGUGAAAGAAAGACUAUAUAACAGUGGAUCAGCCUUAGGAAUGAUAAAAGAGUAGUUUGAACGAAUUAAUGAAUGACUUAUAAACCAUCAGAGGAUCAAACAGGGGGAAGAAUGGGACUGAGGUAAUUUAGAGGUGAGGAGAGAGGAGGAGAGAGGAGGAACACAGGGGUUAGGAGAGAGGAAGAGAGAGGAGAGGAGGAGAGAGGAGGAACACAGAGGUGAGGAGAGAGGAAGAGAGAGGAGGAACACAGGGGUGAGGAGAGAGGAAGAGAGAGGAGGUGAGGAGAGAGGAGGAGAGGAGAGGAGAGAGGAGGUGAGGAGAGAGGAGGAGAGAGGAGAGGAGGAGCACAGAGGUGAGGAGAGAGGAGGAACACAGGGGUGAGGAGAGAGGAGGUGAGGAGAGAGGAGGAGAGAGGAGAAAAGGAGAAGAGAGAAAAGAAAAUGAGAAGACCACUAUAUGAAGGGAUGAGAGAGAACAGGAGGAGGAUGGAGGGAUGAGAGAGGACAGGAGGAGAUGAAGAAUGGAGGAGGAGGAUGGAGGUGAGAGGAAGAAAGGAGAGAUGACCAGAGAUGAGAGGAAAAGAGGAGAGG
This is a long non-coding RNA of Clupea harengus (Atlantic herring), 611 nucleotides long. The record is from Ensembl. Lineage: Eukaryota; Metazoa; Chordata; Actinopteri; Clupeiformes; Clupeidae.